GAUGAACGCUGGCGGCGUGCCUAAUACAUGCAAGUCGAGCGAACAGACGAGGAGCUUGCUCCUUUGACGUUAGCGGCGGACGGGUGAGUAACACGUGGGUAACCUACCUAUAAGACUGGGAUAACUUCGGGAAACCGGAGCUAAUACCGGAUAAUAUUUCGAACCGCAUGGUUCGAUAGUGAAAGAUGGCUUUGCUAUCACUUAUAGAUGGACCUGCGCCGUAUUAGCUAGUUGGUAAGGUAACGGCUUACCAAGGCAACGAUACGUAGCCGACCUGAGAGGGUGAUCGGCCACACUGGAACUGAGACACGGUCGAGACUCCUACGGGAGGCAGCAGUAGGGAAUCUUCCGCAAUGGGCGAAAGCCUGACGGAGCAACGCCGAGUGAGUGAUGAAGGUCUUCGGAUCGUAAAACUCUGUUAUGAGGGAAGAACAAACGUGUAAGUAACUGUGCACGUCUGGACGGUACCUAAGCAGAAAGCCACGGCUAACUACGUG
RNAcentral lists this ribosomal RNA (497 nucleotides) under uncultured bacterium. RNAcentral describes it as "partial 16S ribosomal RNA". It matches the Rfam family "Bacterial small subunit ribosomal RNA", at positions 28 to 507 of the family's 1533-position model. The record is from RNAcentral.